This 946-nucleotide long non-coding RNA is filed under the name Malus domestica (apple). RNAcentral's name for it is "long non-coding RNA (MDOM_LNC015127)". Lineage: Eukaryota; Viridiplantae; Streptophyta; Magnoliopsida; Rosales; Rosaceae. The record is from RNAcentral.
GUUUUGAACCUAGGACACAUUGAUAGAGACCCAACACACUAUUCAAUAGGAUAUGGACCACAUGCACUCUUGUUUUUAUAUUAAACAUGCAUUGUGUUUUUUUUUCUUCAUAAAAAAUGGGGAUAACGGGUGGCAACUAUGGUUAUCCACUCUUCUUGGGCCCAAAGAGGCUAUGAGAAAUUUCACCUUGUCUGUGGCCACAACAUGCAUUGUGUUUGAUUUAGGAUUAUUUUAAAUUUAGUAGGAUGUCCAAAGAAAGUUACAAAAUUUAGAAGGGUGUCUAAAGAAAUGGAUGUCUAUAGACGACAAUCAGGUAUAAACAAAAUUUUCCUUCAAGAGAUUCUAAGUGAAAAGCCCAAACAAGAAAUUUAAGAAAAAAAAAAAAAGGUUCUUUAGAUAUAAUUUCUUGACAAAAACUCAUCUCAUUUUAAACAUCCAAAUAAAACCCAAAUUUGAAGUAGACUGCCAUGUAAACAAAUAAAUACCUAUUAUUUUCAAACUAUUUACAAUUGUGCCACAACACUCUAAUUAUGCUAAUGACUUUAAUUAUCCACCAUAAUUGUGGGAAAUAAGGGCCUUAUUAUUAUAAAAUUAUGUUCCUUAUACUUCUCUUAACAUCAUAUGUUUCAUUUCUUUUAUUUGUUUGACAAUCAUUGUAGGUAAAUUAUUUUGCAUGUAUGUAUUAGGCACAUUUUGUUAAAAUUAUAUAUAUGCGUGCAAAUAAUUUAUCUAUAUUUUUAUGUAAAAUAAUAUGUAAUUAAUUAUUUUUGAAUCAAUUGGCUAAAAACAUUUUUUUUUUAGGUAAAUUAUUUUUCAUGUGAUAUUACAUAUAUACUAGCCACAUUUUGUUAUUAUUAUAUAGAGUGUGCAAUCAAUCGACAUUCUUUUAUUUUGUGGGUAAAUUAUUUUGCAUGUAGGUAAAUUGUUAUAUAUAUUGCAAAAUAUU